RNAcentral lists this ribosomal RNA (639 nucleotides) under uncultured Gammaproteobacteria bacterium. RNAcentral's name for it is "partial 16S ribosomal RNA". It matches the Rfam family "Bacterial small subunit ribosomal RNA", at positions 1 to 611 of the family's 1533-position model. Lineage: Bacteria; Pseudomonadati; Pseudomonadota; Gammaproteobacteria. The record is from RNAcentral.
CCGACGUCGCAUGCUCCCGGCCGCCAUGGCGGCCGCGGGAAUUCGAUUAGAGUUUGAUCAUGGCUCAGAUUGAACGCUGGCGGCAGGCCUAACACAUGCAAGUCGAGCGGUAGAGAGAAGCUUGCUUCUCUUGAGAGCGGCGGACGGGUGAGUAAUGCCUAGGAAUCUGCCUGGUAGUGGGGGAUAACGUUCGGAAACGGACGCUAAUACCGCAUACGUCCUACGGGAGAAAGCAGGGGACCUUCGGGCCUUGCGCUAUCAGAUGAGCCUAGGUCGGAUUAGCUAGUUGGUGGGGUAAUGGCUCACCAAGGCGACGAUCCGUAACUGGUCUGAGAGGAUGAUCAGUCACACUGGAACUGAGACACGGUCCAGACUCCUACGGGAGGCAGCAGUGGGGAAUAUUGGACAAUGGGCGAAAGCCUGAUCCAGCCAUGCCGCGUGUGUGAAGAAGGUCUUCGGAUUGUAAAGCACUUUAAGUUGGGAGGAAGGGCAGUAAAUUAAUACUUUGCUGUUUUGACGUUACCGACAGAAUAAGCACCGGCUAACUCUGUGCCAGCAGCCGCGGUAAUACGAAUCACUAGUGAAUUCGCGGCCGCCUGCAGGUCGACCAUAUGGGAGAGCUCCCAACGCGUGGGAUGC